CACGGGGGGAACGCGAAGAACCUUACCUACCCUUGACAUGUACGGAACCUCGCAGAGAUGUGAGGGUGCCCGAAAGGGAGCCGUAACACAGGUGCUGCAUGGCUGUCGUCAGCUCGUGUCGUGAGAUGUUGGGUUAAGUCCCGCAACGAGCGCAACCCUUGCCAUUAGUUGCUACAUUCAGUUGGGCACUCUAAUGGGACUGCCGGUGACAAACCGGAGGAAGGUGGGGAUGACGUCAAGUCCUCAUGGCCCUUAUGGGUAGGGCUUCACACGUAAUACAAUGGCAGGUACAGAGGGACGCCAACCCGCGAGGGGGAGCCAAUCCCAGAAAGCCUGUCGUAGUCCGGAUUGUAGUCUGCAACUCGACUACAUGAAGCUGGAAUCGCUAGUAAUCGCGGAUCAGCAUGUCGCGGUGAAUACGUUCCCGGGUCUUGUACACACGC
This 443-nucleotide ribosomal RNA is filed under the name uncultured soil bacterium. RNAcentral describes it as "bacterial SSU rRNA". It matches the Rfam family "Bacterial small subunit ribosomal RNA", at positions 950 to 1393 of the family's 1533-position model. The record is from RNAcentral.